This 468-nucleotide ribosomal RNA is filed under the name uncultured bacterium. RNAcentral's name for it is "partial 16S ribosomal RNA". It matches the Rfam family "Bacterial small subunit ribosomal RNA", at positions 28 to 507 of the family's 1533-position model. The record is from RNAcentral.
GAUGAACGCUGGCGGCGUGCUUAACACAUGCAAGUCGAACGGAAAGGCCCAAGCUUGCUUGGGUACUCGAGUGGCGAACGGGUGAGUAACACGUGGGUGAUCUGCCCUGCACUUCGGGAUAAGCCUGGGAAACUGGGUCUAAUACCGGAUAGGACGAUGGUUUGGAUGCCAUUGUGGAAAGUUUUUUCGGUGUGGGAUGAGCUCGCGGCCUAUCAGCUUGUUGGUGGGGUAAUGGCCUACCAAGGCGUCGACGGGUAGCCGGCCUGAGAGGGUGUACGGCCACAUUGGGACUGAGAUACGGCCCAGACUCCUACGGGAGGCAGCAAUGGGGAAUAUUGCACAAUGGGCGCAAGCCUGAUGCAGAGACGCCGCGUGGGGGAUGACGGCCUUCGGGUUGUAAACUCCUUUCGCUAGGGACGAAGCGUUUUUGUGACGGUACCUGGAGAAGAAGCACCGGCUAACUACGUG